Molecule: long non-coding RNA, 1515 nt
Organism: Saccostrea cuccullata (small rock oyster)
Lineage: Eukaryota; Metazoa; Mollusca; Bivalvia; Ostreida; Ostreidae
Exons: 3
Source: RefSeq, a predicted model, not a curated record
CUAUGGCGUUUCAAACCUGUACAUGUAUGCCGAUAUGAUGUAUAUGAUCAUUUUGCAAUUCGAGCUUAAAUUCAAGCUGGUUUUCCCUUGUUUGAUAAUUUACAUAUUAAAAUGCGUAAUUCAAUUAAGGAGGUUAUAUAAACAGUUUUAUAUAUGUGUUUCCCAUUCUCUAUACACCUGUAAAGAUUCGGCAUGUAUUCUAGCAGGUUCGUACAUCGGGUUUUCGAUGAACUGAAUACAGAAGACAAAGCAAGAUAUAUUGCAAGAGAAAUAAUGGACUACUUUAAACCACCAUCACUGGAACAACACCGUGAAGGAGCUCUUGCUGUUAUUAUUAUAUCAAUUCUAGCUAACAUCUUUUUGUUCGUUGCUAUUUUAGCCACGAAAAAUAUUAAAAAAUCUUCUAAUGUAUUGGAAUUAGCCAGAGGAUUAUCCGAAGUGCUACUGUUAGUAUCAAUUACCUUACAAAGUACGAGGAACACAGUCAAUACCAAAGAAAUACCAAUGGCUGUGUCGGGAUUCGUUCUCUUCUGGCUAUUUUCUUUGUGGUCCGUGUGCUUUGGUCUGAUAAAAACUUUUACGGGAUUUCUGCAUUUUACGGGAAAACCUUUAUUCUCGCGUUCUUUUUGGUUGAAAAUCUCAAUCGUUUUCGUCAUUUCGACCUUUCUGGCAUUAAUUGUUUUGUGCGUCGUGUAUGUCGUUGAGGCUAUGGCUUUUGUUGUUUUGGUAUGCAUAGUUUACUAUCUACCUUUAGUGGGAAUGUGGAUUCUCGAUGGGCUGAGGAUCCUUCAUCUUAGAAAUCGUGAAAACAAAAACCAAACAAUCGAAAUGGAUACGAUACCCAGAGAUGAUCCAAAUGGCCGAGUAUUGAGGCUGUCGAAUCCAGAAGUACAAUUAAAUAGACCAAUGUCAAAUUUUGAUGUGUUUAUUGUAAUAUUGUACAGCCUUUGUCAUACAGUUUCCCUUGCUGUAGUGUCCGUGAUAAUUGCACGAAUUGCCAGUCAGUGGAUGUACAACAGACCCCCGUCGUUGCCGUUGCGUAAAGGACCCCAUUGGAAAUAAUCCAUUGGCUUUCAUGGGUUAUCCCUUGCUAAACAAGGUGGUGUAACGUGGACUUAGUCUAAAAGUUGUUGUAAAUCAGAAAUGUGGAUGCUUUCAACUCACUCUGACUUUAAGAAUUCUGUUUUACAAUACAAUUACACAUGGACUCAACAAUUUUGCAGAAGAAUUCAAGCCUGUAGUCUAGGUCCUUUACUGAUGAGUGUUCUGUUCUUUUCUUUUUUUUUUUUUUUACUUAAAUCAUAUCUAUAAUAAGAUCGAUGCCAAAUACAAAGGAACUGAAACAUCAGAGUUAAGCACACACACGUUAUCAUUCUCACAUCCGGGGCCGAACGGUAAAAGAGUGGACCCAGGAUCCACCCCUGAUGUUGACAGAAUGACAUUUAAUUACCUGUAAACCAUAAGAGUUUGCCUGUUAGUCUAGAAUCAUAACCUUUCCAAAUGAAAUAACCAUGC